AACAGAACUUUAAUGGCAGGGAAGGGUUCGGGGCAGAGUCACAGGCAGGGAGCACAAAGGACGAUUCCCAGGGCUCUGGGAAGCGCUGCAGAUCCACAAAGGCCGGAGAAGGCGAUUCCUGAGAUGUCCUUGGCUUGCAGCUUCUCCAGGAGCUGAGCCCAGCCCGCGGCUGCUGCCGGGGGAGCCGGGGCUGCCUCAGAAAUAAAAGGAGCCGCAGUUUCCUCCUCCAAAGCGGGAGCUGAAGGUUCUUCUUCUCCCAAAGGAUCGGCUCCCUCCGUAGGAGCCCCCGGAGCCAAAGGAUCGGCCCCCGCCGUAGGAGCCCCCAAAGGAACCGCCUCGGCAGGAACCCCCAAAGGAACCGCCUCCGUAGGACCCCCCCAUGGAGCCGCCCCCGUAGGAGCCCCCCAUUCCCCCCAUGGAGCCGCCUCCGUAGGAUCCCCCAAUUCCCCCCAUGGAGCCGCUGCCCCCUCCGUAGGAGCCCCCAAGGGCGCCUCCAGAUCCAGAAGAUCCCAGGGCUCCCGAUGGGAAGGAGGUGCCCACGAUGCUCUCCUGGGGGCAGGAGCUGAGGAUGGGCCCCGGGAAGGUGAUGACCACGGGCGGGGGGUGGAUGACGGCCCGGGAGUCCCCGCAGGAGGUGACACAGGGCUGGCUCCAGGCGUCCGCGUAGGGCUGGGGACAGGACACCUCGCACGGGGACGAGCAGCCGCUGCUCAUCAUCGCUCCUGACGACAUUCUUGGGAUGGACGGCGACCUGCGGCAGCACAGCAAUCAGAACCGCAGUGCCCAGAACUCCAGAGGAAAAA
Molecule: long non-coding RNA, 803 nt
Filed under: Chloebia gouldiae (Gouldian finch)
Lineage: Eukaryota; Metazoa; Chordata; Aves; Passeriformes; Passeridae
Description: Erythrura gouldiae (Gouldian finch) lncRNA (ENSEGOG00005011108.1)
Source: RNAcentral